This 651-nucleotide ribosomal RNA is filed under the name Salmonella enterica. RNAcentral describes it as "partial 23S ribosomal RNA". It matches the Rfam family "Bacterial large subunit ribosomal RNA", at positions 1 to 667 of the family's 2925-position model. The record is from RNAcentral. RNAcentral also lists the same sequence under 1 other name. Lineage: Bacteria; Pseudomonadati; Pseudomonadota; Gammaproteobacteria; Enterobacterales; Enterobacteriaceae.
GGGUUGUGAGGUUAAGCGACUAAGCGUACACGGUGGAUGCCCUGGCAGUCAGAGGCGAUGAAGGACGUGCUAAUCUGCGAUAAGCGCCGGUAAGGUGAUAUGAACCGUUAUAACCGGCGAUUUCCGAAUGGGGAAACCCAGUGUGACUCGUCACACUAUCAUUAACUGAAUCCAUAGGUUAAUGAGGCGAACCGGGGGAACUGAAACAUCUAAGUACCCCGAGGAAAAGAAAUCAACCGAGAUUCCCCCAGUAGCGGCGAGCGAACGGGGAGGAGCCCAGAGCCUGAAUCAGCAUGUGUGUUAGUGGAAGCGUCUGGAAAGGCGCGCGAUACAGGGUGACAGCCCCGUACACAAAAGCGCAUAUGCUGUGAGCUCGAUGAGUAGGGCGGGACACGUGGUAUCCUGUCUGAAUAUGGGGGGACCAUCCUCCAAGGCUAAAUACUCCUGACUGACCGAUAGUGAACCAGUACCGUGAGGGAAAGGCGAAAAGAACCCCGGCGAGGGGAGUGAAAAAGAACCUGAAACCGUGUACGUACAAGCAGUGGGAGCCCCACCACUAAGCCAGUGGUGAACUCCACAUACGCAUCCUUUGCUGAGGAUACGGUUAACGGAGCGAAAGCGACGUUCAACCGCAAAAGAAGCAGAGGGGGC